AGAGUUUGAUCCUGGCUCAGGAUGAACGCUGGCGGCGUGCCUAACACAUGCAAGUCGAACGAAGCGCUUUUCCCGAAUUUUCGGAGGAGGGGAGAGUGACUGAGUGGCGGACGGGUGAGUAACGCGUGGGGAACCUGCCCUGUACCGGGGGAUAACAGCCGGAAACGGCUGCUAAUACCGCAUAAGCGCACAGUGCCGCAUGGCACGGUGUGAAAAACCACGGUGGUACAGGAUGGCCCCGCGUCUGAUUAGUUGGUUGGCAGGGUAACGGCCUACCAAGACGGCGAUCAGUAGCCGGCCUGAGAGGGUGAACGGCCACACUGGGACUGAGGCACGGCCCAGACUCCUGCGGGAGGCAGCAGUGGGGAAUAUUGCACAAUGGGGGAAACCCUGAUGCAGCGACGCCGCGUGAGCGAGGAAGUAUUUCGGUAUGUAAAGCUCUGUCAGCAGGGAAGAAGAAUGACGGUACCUGAAGAAGAAGCACCGGCUAAAUACGUG
RNAcentral lists this ribosomal RNA (498 nucleotides) under uncultured Lachnospiraceae bacterium. Its description in RNAcentral is "bacterial SSU rRNA". It matches the Rfam family "Bacterial small subunit ribosomal RNA", at positions 8 to 507 of the family's 1533-position model. Lineage: Bacteria; Bacillati; Bacillota; Clostridia; Lachnospirales; Lachnospiraceae. The record is from RNAcentral.